AGCGAACGCUGGCGGCAGGCUUAACACAUGCAAGUCGAGCGGGCCUUUCGGGGUCAGCGGCGGACGUGUGAGUACCGCGUGGGAACGUGCCCUCUGGUUCCGAAUACCUCAGGUUAACUUGAGCUCAUACCGGAUACGCCCUUUUGGGGAAAGGCUUGCUGCCGGAGGGUCGGCCCGCGUCUGUUUAGCUAGUUGGUGAGGGAACGGCUCAGUAAGGCGUCGAUCCGUAGCUGGUAUGAGAGGAUGGUCAACCGCACUGGAACUGAGGCACGGCCUAGAAUCCUACGGGAGGCAGCAGUGGGGAAUAUUGGACAAGGGGGGCAAGCCUGAUCCAGCCAUGCCGCGGGAGAGAUGAAUGGCUUAGGGAUGUAAAGCUCUGUUAUCCGGGACGAUAAUGACGGUACCGGAUGAAGAAGCCCCGGCUAACUUCGUG
RNAcentral lists this ribosomal RNA (433 nucleotides) under uncultured bacterium. RNAcentral describes it as "partial 16S ribosomal RNA". It matches the Rfam family "Bacterial small subunit ribosomal RNA", at positions 28 to 507 of the family's 1533-position model. The record is from RNAcentral.